UGAGACAUUUUUUAUAUAUAGUAAAGCUCAGCGGAUGGGUACUGCUCAUUUUAUUCAUGGUUUUUGGACUUUGGUGGAAUUGUGCUGUAACUUGGCUAUUUUGCCCUUUCAUUUUUGUUUGCAGCCGUUGCUCCCGUUUGAAAGGUGCUUUUUGGUGUUUUUGGUUGAGCUUUGGCCACCUUGCAUUUUAUAGGAAAAUUUUAUGAUUGAUCUUCGACCUUUUCUUUUCCUGUUCUUUUUUCUCUCUUCGUUCCGUUUCUCUUUAGUUUUCCCGUCUGUCUUUUGAUUUCGGUUCCGAUCGGGUCUUCUCGAAGGUGUUUGGCCUUUUUUUCCCUUGUUUUGUACAAACGAAUCGCUCCCGUUCAGGAAACAUUUUUCUUCGAGUUUGAGGGUUUUAUUCUUCCUAGCUUUUUCUGGGUCAGGAUCCAGGUCUGAGCAUUCUGGUUAGCAGGCCCGCUUAGUUGAAUAAGCUAAGUUUCAUGGCUGACAUCGACGUACUGCUUCCACUGCCUUUGUUAUGUUUUCUGUUAAUUCGUAACUCAUCUGAGAGAUCAUUUUUUUUUUAAUUGAAUUCAAUUGGAUAAGUUUUUUAUUUGAAAACCUGGGUACCUAGAUGCUCUAGAGAGCAUUUUGAGUCAUCGAUACAAUACUGUUGUAAUUUAGUAGUUGUGCAGUUUGAGAACUGGUGUGUAGUUGUUUCUUCAGCAACCUGACUAACCUGAUCUACUCAAGAAACCAAGCUAAACUGCUUAUUUGGGCAUUAUUGACAACCUAAAUGGUUUGGUUUGGCUUGGCUAUAAUUCAUAUGAAUCUGAAGUCGUUAGUUCUGGUGUUAGGAACAUGGAGCAAUAUGCAUAUGUACUGGUGAAAAUACAAGGUUGUGAGUGUGGUACUGAUUCUUUCUUUGUAUUAAUUGAGCUUAUAAUAUAUUUUAAGGCCUCAAAUAUAGAUUUGUUUUUCGUAUCAAUUCUUAACUUAUCGGUGUUAAUAGAACUGAUUUGGUUUUGUAGAUCAGAAUUUUUAAACGACAAAAUUAACCUGCAAAUUCAGUUCAGGUAUCAAUGUUUGCACUUAUUUAGAUUGUUGAAUUUAUCUUUACCUUUACUAGAUUUUAUUUUUCUAUGUUGUUUGAUGCAUUAUCGUGUUACUUUAUUAUUAAUAAAACUAAUUUGGUUUUGUAGAUUAAGAUUUUUUAGUGAGAGAAUCAAGUUCAAAAUUCAAUUGAGGUUGCAUUUGCAAAGGGAGAACAACAUCUUAGAUGGUUCUUGUGCUUAUGAAACAUUUGAGGGUAAGAUUCACAUGGUUAUUUAAAUUUGUGGGUUUUGUUUCUUUGAUUUUAAAAUGGAAAAAACUUAAACAUUUUUUUUCCGUAGAUUUUAAUUAGAAUGUGUUGUAAAGCUUUUUAUGCAUUGCUGUGGUUUAUUGUAAUAAGUUGGCAACUAUGUAUAAGGAGCUAUUAAUUUUGGAUUUACAGAAAUUAGGUGUUCAAUUAGUUUGAGAUUAUUUGGUUUCCUUUCAAUUUUCUUUGUUUUCUACUUUCUCUUAUUGUCAUCUAUUUUUGUGACUUAUUCUUAUUCUGCGGUUGUAGGAUUAUGUUAGUUUUGCAGAACAUUAUUAUUUAGUCAGUGGUGGUUCUGUUUAUGCCUAGAAAAUGGUUAGCUAAGUGUAUUGACACAUGGUCUUUUUUAUCAAUGUGUUGUAAAUUUUUUUAUGUGUUGUGGUUUACUAUGGUAACUUUUUGCAAGUAUGUAUAGGGGGAAAUGCUUUUGCUUUCCCCUGUUUCCUUUUUUUUUUUUCGCAGAAAAAAAAAUUUCAUGCAAUAUUUUUCUGUUUUUGUUAAAAUAAUGUCCUGAUGCGAUUAAGUGCCUAAAGGUUACACAGUUGGCCUAAGUUUUAUACUCUAAUAUAUUAAGUAUACAUGAAAUAUCUAGUUUAUCUUAUUUAUUGGCUAUAUAUGUGCUGCUUAGCAAUUUGAUUAGCUGAAAAAUUUAGCCAGCAAGGCAAAUUUUUUUAUGCUAAAACUGUUGCAGAGAUGUUAGUUAACAAAAAGUGGGUCACUGUUUUUAUCUUCUCAAUUAAGUUUUAGAGAAACAUUUAUAAUUUUUUGAGGCAUUAUUUCAUCCUUUUUCCAUUUAAGUUUUAAUUGGCAUUUCAUCUUUAUUUGAAUUCUUUUUUUCGUUUCAAAUUAACAUUGCUUCCCACUUGACUACAUGCUUUCUGUACAGAUUUCAUUUUGUGGCAAAAAAAUUUCAUUAUAUAUACCUAUCAUUAGUCAAAUUCAAACUUAGCAAUAAGAUAACUUUUUCAUUAUAUACCUAUUAAUUCUCAAUUCCGUCAUCAGAAUUGCUCUUAAUCUCAGUUUCUCAAUUCUUUAGCGUCUAGAACACCCAUUCCAAAACACUAGCUUCAUUCUUACUAAUAGACUUUAUCUUUUAUGUUUAGCAUAAAUUAGAUAACAAUGCAUGAUAAUGAAUUACAAAUUGUUUUUUAUUUCUUAUAUUCAAAUUUAGUUUUUGCUCUUUCAUCCUACGUAUGACUCCUUGUUUCCAUCCAUCUCAACUAAUUACUAUAUAUUAUUUAUUAACUGCCAUAGAACCCUUUUUUAACACUGUAUUUUACAAUUUUAGGGGAAAAAAAACAGCUAAUUCAGCAUGGGAUAUACAACAUUGACAAAUACAGUUUCAAGCAAUGAAGACACAAAUAUUCAAAGGUAUGUAAAAUUAAUUAAUUGUUUUGUUGACGUUCUACAUUUAAUUACAAUUUUUACUAAGCUUUCUCUUUAGGCGAAUUAGCUAUUACUAAUAUAUAAAUAUAUAUAUGUAUAUAUACACUAGCUUCUUUUCACUAGAGAUAAAAGUAUAAAAGUUGACAUUUGCACUAGAGAUUUACCCUCUCCACAUAUUUUAAUUUAAUAUCUUCUUUCACAGAUUUACAAAAUAUGGGCAGGAUUUAUCUUUAGUGGAAGGAUGUCUGUUUAUACUUUUGAAUAUUGGCCUUAAAUCUUUCACUAGACAAACAAAUAAUAAGCCAUGUAUUCACAAUAAGUUAGAAGAAGAAAGUAUCUAUAUAAAUUGAUAAUAGUUAAUUCCUCUGAA
Pyrus x bretschneideri (Chinese white pear) is the source of this 3095-nucleotide RNA transcript. RefSeq lists it as uncharacterized. The transcript is spliced from 4 exons. Lineage: Eukaryota; Viridiplantae; Streptophyta; Magnoliopsida; Rosales; Rosaceae. The record is from RefSeq and is a predicted model, not a curated record.